This 345-nucleotide small RNA is filed under the name Histoplasma capsulatum. RNAcentral's name for it is "hypothetical RNA". RNAcentral also lists the same sequence under 1 other name. The record is from RNAcentral. Lineage: Eukaryota; Fungi; Ascomycota; Eurotiomycetes; Onygenales; Ajellomycetaceae.
AAACAGUCAGAGCACUGCUUCCCGGCGGAGGAGGAGGUGGCCCCUUCGGCAGCAACUGAUGUGGCCGCGACGGUGGGGAUGUGCGGGGGUCCUUGGGCUUGCGUUUGGAGAUGCUACAUCCGCCUUUGCGUGCAGCAACCCGGCAGCGAGAACAAGAAUCCCCGGGCUUGGCUAUCUGGGCUCUCCCCUUCUCGGAGUACGCCCAACAUUCCUCACCGUUCUCUUGACAGGCAGCACACCUGUCCUCCCCCAGCAGCUGCUCACCCAGCUCCGUCUCCAUUAUCCGGCCAAUAUGGCCCCAUACCCUCUGCUUCUGAGGAGAGAAGCACUGGAACUCCUCAUGGG